Cyprinus carpio carpio is the source of this 2066-nucleotide long non-coding RNA. Lineage: Eukaryota; Metazoa; Chordata; Actinopteri; Cypriniformes; Cyprinidae. The record is from Ensembl.
AAACAAUAAACAAGUUAGACCAGUCAUGUGUAGUGCCAGGUGCAAUCGCAUACCCAAAAAGUUUUAGGGCACGUUCAGGUAACUGACAUCUAGCCUAACUUUAAAACUGUGCACUCAGUCACACCCGACAGAUUUUGCGAUGCGUGAGUGGGAUGAUGAUGUAGGCGAGUCUUAACAACACAAACUUCAGUCAUUUCACUUCACUUUCCUCCAGCGAUCUGAUACGCGUGCCUCUUCUGCAGCGGAAUAUAAACCAAAGGACAAUCAUGAAGCCCUUGGCAUUGCUGACACUUCUGCUCAUCACGAGUGGUUCUGCAGUGGGGCAAAUGUUGAAAUCUAAUGUGACUGGCUAUGUUGGAAAGGAUGUACUUUUAUCAUUUAACUGUUCUAAAGACCCUAAAGAGCUGAUAUGGCAGAAAGGUGAGAGAUUAGUGAAUGUUCAUUCACAAGACAAAAUCACCAUAGAUGAUUCCUACGUGGACAGGACACAACUCUUCAUAAACAUGGAGAAGAGAAACUGUUCCCUACUGCUCCGCAACAUCUCUACAGCAGAUGCAGGACUGUACACCUGUUAUGCCAUAGACACUGUUGAUAACAAGGUCUGGACAAAGGAGUCUACAGAAGUUAAUUUAACAGGUGAGUUUUCUAAUUAUUAAUUUAUUUAUCUAAGCAGAUCAAUAGUUAAUAUCUUGAAAGGAAACAGCAAGCCUCUUCCUGUUUUACACUUUCAGUGUGCUUCCCUUUUCAAAGUGCAACUCUGCUUAGCUGUAGUCUACUAGGACUGUUUAGAUAAUGACGUGUAAGAGAAUCACAGGUUGGAAAAAAGCUUAUAAAAAGCAGAACUUUCAUGACAAUCAAAGGAAGUUGAAAUUGUUGCUACUGCAGCAGGACCAAAAGUUAUUGACACCAGAGAAUAGCCUACGACAAUAUCAUAAACAUUGUCGUCAUCUGCGGUGCAACCAGUGAUAAUAAAACAGCUCAUCUAUUGAAUGGUAUUACAGGCUAAAGAACAAAAAACAGUACCUGUGUUGUGUUAAAGUAUAAGUGAUGUAGGCUCUGAGCUGGGGUUUCAAAUGCUGAAAUUUUGCUAGAAACUCUGCCUGUGUUUCCUUAAUUUUUUUAAUGUAUUACAAAUUAGGAUUGUAAACUGUAAUGUGUGGUAGUGUAAAGAUAAUGAUGACAUUGAUAUCUCAUAACAUAUCUCUUUUACCAGUGGAGAUCAACCCUGAAAAAAGCGUCCAAACUGAAGAAGAAUCUGACACAGCUGUCCCUGUUAGUGUUCCCAUAGCGGUAGUACUGCUUAUACUGGCUGUUAUCCUGCUUCUAAUCCUACUGAUCAGAAGACAACAUCGGACACGCACGGACACUGAUUUACCGGCUGAGAAACCUAUGCUACAGAAUGUGUGAAGUGCUCUUGCUUGACAGUUUAAUGGACUUACUUCUAUGUUGUAAUGCAAGGUCCUUCACAACAACAACAAUGGACAAUAAGAGGCCUUAGCCCUAAACAAAUGCGUUCGCAUGUGGGCAUUACACAAUGGUGCGUGCUGAUCCGUCUCACUUUGAGACAGAUUAAUGUUCAGUUUUCAGUUGUAACACUGUUACUUGUUUACCACUGAAUUGUGAAUACACUGCGGAUAUACAUUCAGUAGGCAUUACAGUUUUGUAAUUUGACAAGAUUCUCCUUGUAGGAACUGUCUUUAUUCAUUCUUUGAAGAACAGAUGUGAGGGGUAGGGGACAUGCAGUUUGUAUUUUGCCUUUUCCUCUCUCUUUGAGACAAACUGGUGGUCUCAAUCCUAAACAAGCUUUCCAAAUAAUUUUAUUUUAUUGUUCAUAUGUGUACAGCAAUCAUUUACUAAGCACUCAUCAUGCAAGCUUCUUUACAUUUACUCUUGAAUUGGUUGUUUUACUCAGCCUGUGCUGAUUUCAUUUAUGUGGAAGAAAUAAUAUGGCACUCCCUAUGGGAUAUAUUUGCUUUUUUUACUGUACUAAAUUUCAUUUACUUUUAAAUGAAUUCUGUAAAGUGCUUCAAACCUGUCAAGGCAAUAAACCUUUUACAUAUACAGUU